CCCUUAGAUGUCCCGGGCCGCACGCGCGCUACACUGACAUGUUCAACAAGCCUCCUAGUUCGACAGGAUUUGGGAAAUCUUUGAACGCAUGUCGUGAUAGGGAUAGAUCAUUGCAAUUAUUGAUCUUGAACGAGGAAUUCCUAGUAAACGCGAGUCAUCAGCUCGCAUUGAUUACGUCCCUGCCCUUUGUACACACCGCCCGUCGCACCUACCGAUUGAAUGUUUCGGUGAAGAUUCCGGAUAGGACUUUUUUGAUUUAUUUCAAUUCUGUCUUAAAAGCUAUCUAAACCUCAACAUUUAGAGGAAGGUGAAGUCGUAACA
This 321-nucleotide ribosomal RNA is filed under the name uncultured eukaryote. RNAcentral's name for it is "partial 18S ribosomal RNA". It matches the Rfam family "Eukaryotic small subunit ribosomal RNA", at positions 1470 to 1796 of the family's 1831-position model. The record is from RNAcentral.